GAUGAACGCUGGCGGCGUGCCUAAUACAUGCAAGUCGAGCGAACAGACGAGGAGCUUGCUCCUCUGACGUUAGCGGCGGACGGGUGAGUAACACGUGGAUAACCUACCUAUAAGACUGGGAUAACUUCGGGAAACCGGAGCUAAUACCGGAUAAUAUAUUGAACCGCAUGGUUCAAUAGUGAAAGACGGUUUUGCUGUCACUUAUAGAUGGAUCCGCGCCGCAUUAGCUAGUUGGUAAGGUAACGGCUUACCAAGGCAACGAUGCGUAGCCGACGUGAGAGGGUGGUCGCCCACCCUGGAACGUGGACACGGUCCAGACUCCUGCGGGAGGCAGCAGACGGGAAUCUUCCGCAGUGGGCGAGAGCCUGGCGGAGCGGCGCCGCGUGUGUGGUAAAGGUCUUCGGAUCGUAAAACUCUGUUAUUGGGGAAGAACAAAUGUGUAAUUAACUAUACCCGUCUUGACGGUACCUAGUCAGAAAGCCCCGGCUAACUACGUG
Molecule: ribosomal RNA, 497 nt
Filed under: uncultured bacterium
Lineage: Bacteria
Description: partial 16S ribosomal RNA
Rfam family: Bacterial small subunit ribosomal RNA
Source: RNAcentral